RNAcentral lists this unclassified non-coding RNA (5648 nucleotides) under Mizuhopecten yessoensis (Yesso scallop). RNAcentral describes it as "dNA-directed RNA polymerase I subunit RPA2-like, transcript variant X1". The record is from RNAcentral. Lineage: Eukaryota; Metazoa; Mollusca; Bivalvia; Pectinida; Pectinidae.
CACCGACUGUGGCAGCACGUGGAAGAACUUUUAAAAUGUCAACAGAAGACAGCAAACAGCCGUCCUUUAAGAACCUAACGUCGAAGAACUAUGCCGUUCCAAAAGAACAUCAACAUCUGCCUUUGCAGGAACUGACCAAACCACAUGUGGAGUCAUUCAACUUUUUCAUGAAAGAGGGCUUAUCCAUAGCAGUCAAGAACAUCCCUUCUACAGAAUUUGCCCUACCAAAUGGAGACCGGGUCAGGUUUAAGUUGUUGGAUGCUACCUUAUAUGAACCCAGGGUUUCUCAGGGCAAUCAUUUCGCGGCAACACAGAAGGUGUACCCUGCAGAGUGUCGAGAGCGAGGCGUCACGUACCGAGGGGUUCUACAUAUACAGCUGAUGUGGUCCGUCAACGACAACAUUAGUGGGACGUUAGACAAGGAAAUUGGAUACAUCCCCAUCAUGGUCAAGUCAGAUGGCUGUAACUUGAGUAAACUAGGUCCAGCAGACCUGAUAAAGAGAGGCGAGGAAGCAGAGGAGAUGGGAGGAUACUUUGUAAUUAACGGACUGGAGAAGGUGAUCAGGAUGCUUGUAAUGCCAAGACGUAAUUUUCCCACCUGUAUGAAGCGCCCCUCAUGGAAGAACCGUGGCAAGCAGUAUACAGAAUUUGGUGUGUCUAUCCGAUGUGUUCUGGACGAUCAGAGUGGCAUCACCAACAUCCUCCACUACCUUUCUAAUGGGAUGGCAACACUUAGUUUUACCUACAACAAGGAGAUGUUCUUUGUACCAGUCGUCUUCAUUCUCAAGGCCCUGGUGAAGGUCACAGACAAGUACAUCUAUGAUGAACUGAUUCAGGGCAAGGAAGACGACUCCUACUAUAAGGGGUGUAUGGUAGCUAUGUUACGACAGGCACAGGAUGAGGGCCUCCUCACACAGUCCAGCAUCCUGAAUCUCAUCGGCGAGCGUUUCCGCAUCAAACUUGAUCUUCCGAUAUGGUAUACAGAAACUGAGGUUGCUAACUACCUUCUAAAACACUGCAUAGCAAUUCACCUGGAAUCCAACACUGAUAAGUUCAACCUGUUGUUAUACAUGACGCGGAAGUUGUUUGCGUUCGCGCGGGGAGAAUGUGCCGAGGAGAGCCCUGACAAUACCAUGUACCAGGAGGUGUUACUCAGCGGUCAUCUCAUGUGUAUGUUUGUAAAGGAGAAGAUCCAUGACUGGGUGAGAAACCUAAAGAUGCAGGUGGAGAAGGAAGCUAAAGUAAAAGACAAGUCAGGCAACAAGUACAAUGUAGAUGAUGGUUCCCUGCAAAACUCUAGUCGUCGUGUCCCGUCCAUUUCCAGGCCAGUGGAGUAUUUAAUGACAACAGGAAACCUCUUAUCUCGGACUGGUCUAGGACUGAUGCAGGUAUCUGGUCUGACCAUUGUUGCAGACAAGCUGAACUUUUUGCGAUACAUUUCACACUUCCGAUGUAUACAUAGAGGCUCGUUCUUCGCGGAAAUGAGAACCACUGCCGUCAGAAAAAUGUUACCAGAAUCAUGGGGAUUUAUUUGUCCCGUACACACCCCUGACGGUACUCCCUGUGGCCUGAUGAAUCACAUGACAGCCCUCUGCAAGAUCGUGAACAAAAUCUACAGUAACGUCCACCUGCCAAAGUUACUGUGUUCCCUGGGAGUGACCCCUUUAGACGCCCCACCCAUGGGAAAGUACAAUGACAACUACCGAGUCAUCGUGGAUGGGAAAAUCAUUGGCAAUGUACAUUACAGUUUGGCGGAAAGCGUGGCACAAAAAAUUCGGGUCAUGAAAGUUGAAGGUCUUAACAAGGUACCCCCGGUGACAGAGAUCGGGUUUGUGCCUCGCACCGAGUUUGCCAGUCAAUAUCCAGGUCUCUUUAUCUUUACGUCACCGGCACGGAUGGUGCGACCUGUCCGGAACCUAAGUCUCAAGAAAAAUGAAAUGAUUGGCACAUUUGAACAAGUCUAUAUGGACAUCAGCUUGAAUGAUGAGGAAACACACCAGCACCAAAAGAGGGUGACCCACCAGGAGCUCACAGAAAUAGCGAUGCUGUCGACGGUGGCCUGCCUCACACCUUUCUCCGACUUCAACCAAAGUCCCAGGAACAUCUACCAGUGUCAGAUGGGUAAACAGACAAUGGGUACUCCCGGUCACGCCCUGGGUCAUAGGGCAGACAACAAGCUGUACAGAAUACAGACUCCUCAGUCACCAAUGGUCCGCCCCUACAUGUACGACUAUUACAACGUUGACGAGUACCCUGUAGGAACCAACGCUGUGGUGGCCGUCAUCUCUUACACUGGGUAUGACAUGGAGGACGCCAUGAUUCUGAACAAGUCAUCGUUUGAGAGGGGCUUUGGACACGCAACAAUUCACAAAGCAGAGAUAAUAAGUUUGGCAGCCAAAGACAAUUCAAGCCGUGGCCAGAAUUCAAAUCUCGUCUUUGGCUGUAAAGGAGCAGAUAUGAAGCGCAUAGAGGGCAAAUUGGACAGUGACGGCCUACCCAAUAUUGGAGCUUAUCUACAGGAAGGGGACCCCUACUACAGCUACUACAACCUACAGACCGGGGAGUCCAAGGUGGAGCGGUACAAAAACGCUGAGCCUGCCCACGUAGACUACAUAAAGAUUCUGGGCAAUGACCUAGGUACCAGCGAGCUCAAUAAAGUCUGCAUUGGGCUUCGGAUCAAGAGAAAUCCAAUCAUAGGAGACAAAUUUGCCAGUCGACACGGCCAGAAAGGAAUUUGUAGUAUGCUGUGGCCGGUGGAGAACAUGCCUUUUACAGAGAGCGGGAUGACGCCGGACAUUCUGUUCAACCCGCACGGCUUCCCAUCCAGAAUGACCAUAGGUAUGAUGAUAGAGAGUAUGGCGGGUAAGUCCGCGGCCAGUCAUGGCCUUUGUCAUGAUGCUACACCAUUCAAGUUUUCUGAAGACCAGCCAGCGAUCGAUUACUUCGGAGAUAUCCUCACUAAAGCUGGCUAUAACUACUAUGGGACAGAGCGUAUGUACAGCGGGUCAAGUGGACUGGAGUUAGAAGCCGACAUCUUCAUAGGAGUGGUGUACUACCAGCGUCUACGGCACAUGGUUUCUGACAAAUUCCAGGUGAGAUCUACAGGUCCUGUUGACCAGUUGACCCACCAACCAGUGAAGGGCAGGAAGCGUGGGGGAGGGAUCAGAUUUGGGGAGAUGGAGAGAGAUGGAAUGAUCGCUCAUGGCACAGCGUUUCUCUUACAGGACCGCCUCCUUAACUGUUCUGAUAAAUCUAUGGUCCAUGUUUGUACAAAGUGUGGUAGUAUGUUAUCUCCCCUGUUGGAGCGGCCGGUGACGGCAGUGGCGGCGUUCACCUCGGAAAUGAGGCGUAAAUGGACAUGCAUGUUGUGUAAACGCUCGGACACUAUCAACGUUAUCACUGUGCCUUUUGUGUUCCGAUACUUAGUGGCAGAACUGGCGGCCAUUAACAUCAAAGUACAGCUGGAGGUCAAAUGAAACUGUAAAGGUCAAUUAAAGGUCGUGUUACUUUGCUGAUGACCAUGUCAAUGUCAUGUUUUCAGUUGUGCAAUAGUAAAGUGGUCAACAAUGGUCUACUGCAUGGUUAUGAUACGAUAAAUAUUAAAACUAUUGGCUGUAUCAAUUCCAGCAGUCAAAACAGAUAAUGUCAAGGUUAUACUUGUCAGAAGAUUCCAUCUAGGUCAUACCUGUCGAAAGAUUUAAUCUAGGUCAUACCUAUCGAAAGAUUUAAUCUAGGUCAUACCUGUCGAAAGAUUUAAUCUAGGUCAUACCAGUCAGUAGAUUCAACCGAGGUCAUACCAGUCAGUAGAUUCAAUCUAGGUCAUACCAGUCAGUAGAUUCAAUCGAGGUCAUACCAGUCAGUAGAUUCAAUCGAGGUCAUACCAGUCAGUAGAUUCAAUCGAGAUCAUACCGGUCAGUAGAUUCAAUCGAGGUCAUACCAGUCAGUAGAAUCAAUCUAGGUCAUACCAGUCAGUAGAAUCAAUCGAGGUCAUACCAGUCAGUAGAUUCAAUCUAGGUUGUACAGGUCAGUAGAUUCAAUCUAUGUCACACUGAUCAGAAAACUCCUGGUAAGACUUUUCAGAGAUCAUACCUAUCACAGAAGUCAAUGUGAAUCUGAUGGUACAUCAUGCUGUAUCUGUAAUUGAAUGUUCAAUGAAUAAUGAAAUCUUCCCCUACUUUGAGGGUGUGACAGAGAAAUCUCCAACCCAAAGGAUAAUAUUCCUGAUUGUCUUACCCUAGGCUUUAGGUAAGGCAAUCAAGAAUAUCAUCCCAAAGAUUUGAGAUUUCUCUGUCACAGCCUCAAAUCAGGCAUCUGAUUUUUCUCCCAUCCUGUUUCACUCACAAAUCCGCCGAAAGCGUUGAUUGCAUGAAAUAUAAGCACUGAUUGCAUGUUUUUCCAGCAAAUCCAGAGUUGUAUUACAUGGUCUGCUACUGUUGACGUGACCUCAAUGCAUUGAUGACUUGAUGUCAUACUAUUGUUAUGAGGCUAUCUCCCCCUAGGGGGUGACAAGCUGAUCUUUUCUGGCUUAAAAGGGAGACACGCCUGUGAAGAGUGGGAGAAAGAUGUCAUAGUAACAAGGUAAUUCCUGAAGAUAUCGUGAUACUACAAUGUAGUACAUCGAAGUGUUAACGGAAUUCCAAAUAGAAGUCAUAUGUUAUGACGGUAAGGGACUUUAACAAAGCAUUAAUGAUCUUUCAAAAUGUUUACAGAUACUCAUCCAUGGUUAUAACGGUCAACAGAUCCUAGCCGUAGUUCAGGAUUUGUCGGGCUGCUCAUGGAAUUCUGGGAAGAAUUCUUUAUGUAUCAUAUUGCUUUAGGUAAUUCCAACUAAAGCAUGUUCUGGUUAUACACUCUAGCUUGUCAUUUUAUCCCUCACAACAAAAGUAGAGAUGGUAUACCGUAAAUAGAUUGUUAGUCGGUCUAUCUUGGCAAACAGAUUCCUAAAUUUAUAAGUCAAUUUCAACAAAACUUUGUAAGCCUGAUCAGUACAUCAUAUUACUGUAUACUUAACAUUUGUAUUUCGGUUUUGACUUUAUUUUUAAGAGUUAUUGCCCUUUCUGUAAAUCGACAACUUUAAUUGUUUGGAUUAUAGACAGCCACAAUGGCUUCUGAUUAGCAGAGACAAUAAGCGUUUAUAACUUGAGUUCUAUAGGUCAGCUUUAUUGAUAGAUUUUGCGAGCGAUACAUACAGGGGGAAAUUUAUAACAAAAGGCCAACUUUUCAAUUUCAGAAUACGAGAUUGCCACCAAGGCAUAUGAUAAGCCGAGACAAUAACAGUUAUAACAUAGAGUCUGAUUGGGCCGACAUUGUUGAUACUAUAUGUAAGUGAUAUAUAGGAAAGAAAAUGCAUAUUAACAGAUCAACUUGCAAAUUCAAGGGUUCAAGAUUGCAGCUACAUGUAUAGUAUCUGAUCAUAAAUGCUUCAAUGGUUGAUAUUGGGUAUUAGUUUGUCCGCUCCUUACAUUUCUAUUGAUCCUCGGCCUGUUCAGCGUGUAAAUGUAGAAUGUCUUAAACAGGGAGCCUGCUGGAAAUGAAGACAUUCAUUUAGGGAGUGUCUGUACUGUAAUUACAAACAUGUUUCAGAUAAUGCAAAUGCUGUUUUCAAAGCUGUUAUGUUUUAUAAGAAAUUGUUAAUUAAAUAUGUUACA